UAUUUGAAUGUUUUGAAUUUUAGGCUUGAAUAUGUUUGAAAAAUAUGUUUGUAUAUAUUUGAUAUUUGAAUGUUUUGAAUUUUAGGUUUGGAAAAUAUGUUUGUGUAUGUUUUAAAUUUGAAUGCUUUCAAUUUUGGGGUUGAAUGCUUUGAAUAUGUUUUGAAUGCUUUGAAAAAUGAAGUCCAAGUCUAAAGAGGAGUUUUUAAAUUAAAUUUUUGGUAGGUUGAAAACAAUAUCUUCAUCACCUUCUACAAAUAAAGAUUCUACAAAUCCAAUUCCAAGUCCAAUCCCAGAUCCAACCCCAGAUUCAACCCCAAAUUCAACCCCAAAUUCAACCCCAAAUUUAACUCCAUACUCAUCGAAUGAUGAUAAUUUUAAUGUUGGUAAUUGUGUUAUUCUUGAUGAGGAUAUUGAGAAGAGAUCUUUAAAGAGGAGAUUGACAUCUGUUGUUUGGAACCAUUUUAAGAAACAAAAAAUAGAUGGAGUAGACAAGGCAGUUUUUAAUAAUUGCAAACGAAAAUUAGGGGGUGAAAGUAAAAAUGGAACCAAACAUUUGCAUGAUCAUAUUAAGAUAUGCUCAUAUAAAGGACAAAAGGACAUACGACAAUCCCUAUUGAAUCUUAAUAGAGAGAAGAAUAAUACAUUGAGUUUAUAUAACUUCGAUCAGGAAGCUGCAAAAAAAGCAUUAGCUAGGAUGAUACUAAUACAUGAAUAUCCUCUCUCAAUAGUUGAGCAUGAAGGUUUUAGGGAAUUUUGUAAUGUCAUCCAACUAUUAUUUAAGAUGGUGUCAAGAAACACAAUAAAGAAGGAGAUUUUGAAAAUUUAUGAGACUGAAGAGUUGAAAACCAUGACAUUAUUGAAUGAGAUCAAAGGAAAGAUUGCCCUUACAACGGACAUGUGGACUUCCAACCACCAAACAAAAGAUUAUAUGGCUGUCAUUGCUCAUUUUGUUGAUGAAAGUUGGGUUUUGCAAAACAAAAUAAUCAGGUUUAUAUAUGUUCCUUCUCCACAUACUUCUGAGAUGCUUCAUGAAGAAAUAAUAGAAUGUCUGUUAGAUUGGAAUAUUGAUCGAAAAUUUUCAUUAGUAACUGUAGAUAAUUGUAGUACCAAUGACUCUAAGGUUAAUAUGCUUGUUGAUAGUUUGUGUGAAAACUUAAUAUUGGAUGGGAGUUUAUUUCAUAUGCGGUGUUGUGCUCAUAUUCUGAAAUUGAUUGUGAAAUAUGGGUUGGCAGUAAUAGGAGAUGGGAUCGUUAGAGUACGUAGUAGUGUGUCUUUUUGGGUGCAUACACAAAAAAGAGGAGAAAUUUGAGGAAACUGCUCGACAGUUAAAUGUUUAUGAUGGUAAGAUGUUGAGUCUUGAUUGUUGUACUAGGUAGAAUUCUACCUAUUUUAUGUUAGCCACUGCAUUAAAGUACAAAGAUGUUUUUUAUCGAUUAAAACAACGAGAACUAAAGUACAAGUGUUUGCCUUUGGAUCAAGAUUGGGUAUUAGCAAAAAAGAUAUGUGAGAAACUGUAAUAUUUCAUCACGUGAUUGAAAUAUUUUCUGGAUCCAAAUAUCCUACUGCUAAUCUUUUUUUCCCAAAAAUUUGUAAAUUGAAAUUGGCUAUUUCUGAGUGGACUAAUUCUGGCAUUCAAGAGAUUAGAGACAUGGCUUCAAAUAUGAUGUCAAAGUUUGAUAAGUAUUGGAAGACAAUUCAUGGGGUAAUGGCCAUAUAGAUCCGUUGAUUGAGUUUUACUUCCCUAGAAUUUAUGGAGAUAGUUUUUUAUUGAAGUGGAAAGAAUUAAAAAAUAUUUUUUCAGAUUUGGAAAUAGAAUAUCAGCUGAAGCAUGAAGGUGAAAGUAAUGAUUAUCACACUAGAAAUUUAAAGGGAACCUCACAUAAUAUCGAAUUUGAUGAUUUUAAUGAUUAUGACUUGUUUAUGUCAAAUUCCAAUAAUAUGAAUCAGAAGCAACAGUUUGAUGCAUAUUUGGAUGAACCUGUCUUACCUCGAACAUCCGAUUUUGAUAUUUUGAGUUGGUGGAAAUUGAAUGGUGUCAAGUAUCCAAUUUUACAAGAAAUUGCAAGAGACAUAUUAGACAUCCUGUUAUCUAGUGUUGCAUCAUAGUCUUCUUUUAGUACCUGUGGUAGGAUUGUAAGCCCACAUCGUCCACAUCGUAACAAACGUCAUCCAAAGACGAUAGAGGUUUUGAUGUGUGCUCAAAAUUGGAUUGCAACUUAAGGUACUAGCACGGAAAAAGAAAUGGUUACACAUUUAGCAACGAUGCAGAAGAUUCUGAUGAAGAUGGCGUGGUGACUAAGGAAUGAAUACAACUAAGGAUGGGAUGAUGCCAAAAAAAUCAAAAGAUUUGAUUGUGAAGUUAUUGAAGAGAGAAGGACGAGUUUUAUUAAAUUUUAAGUUGUAAACUUAUUUGAAUGUAUAAGACGUUUGCCUUUAAUUGACUUCCUUAUUCAAACUUUAUUGAAUUUUAAGUUGUAAAGUUAUUUAA
Non-coding RNA from Benincasa hispida (wax gourd), 2488 nucleotides. NCBI's taxonomy places the organism in Eukaryota, Viridiplantae, Streptophyta, Magnoliopsida, Cucurbitales, Cucurbitaceae. The record is from RefSeq and is a predicted model, not a curated record.